GAUAAGUGCUAAAUAAUGCAUAAACUAAUAUCUUAUUCAUGGCACUUAUCAUUAUUUUAAUUUACAUAUUUUAUAAAUUUAACUAAAAAAAUUGUGUUACCUUCAUCAUUGCAUUUUAAUAAAUUAUUCGAGAUUUACUUAUGUAUUUAUUGAUUAAGCCUUAUGUAUGUAGGUCAAGUCAAAUUGAAUGAUGCUUAAACCCACACUGCACUUCAUCAAAUUCUUUUCUUUUCUUCGCACAUUCACCUAUCAAAAACAAGUCUCCCUACAUGUCCAAACUUCCCAAUUCCCUUUUCAACACAUGGCUAUCCAAGAUCACGUGUAUUCUUCCCCGCGUCUAAAGGUCUUGUUCCCAGCUAACAGCAACACUCCCAGCCCCCGUAUCCCAUUCCGAAUCUAAGCUCCAUCUCUUCCGAACCAACCCAGCCAAAUUAAAUUCACAUCCUUCUCAGCAUGAUCCACGGGAUGGAUUCAAAAAUCCAGCUUCUUCCGCUAGAUCCCAGCAUCCUCUUCCUUCGGAAUAAAGUUCC
Molecule: long non-coding RNA, 530 nt
Filed under: Phoenix dactylifera (date palm)
Lineage: Eukaryota; Viridiplantae; Streptophyta; Magnoliopsida; Arecales; Arecaceae
Description: long non-coding RNA (PDAC_LNC022431)
Source: RNAcentral